Long non-coding RNA from Manis pentadactyla (Chinese pangolin), 5519 nucleotides. RefSeq lists it as uncharacterized. The transcript has 7 exons. NCBI's taxonomy places the organism in Eukaryota, Metazoa, Chordata, Mammalia, Pholidota, Manidae. The record is from RefSeq and is a predicted model, not a curated record.
UAAAGUUACUUAAAGAGACAAAAUGUGCAGCAGGCAACCUCAGUGAGGAGAGGGACCCUGAAAGGUUGGGGAGAGUGUUAUGGGUCUCAGAUCAGGCACGCUGGAGCAGGAGUAAGGAAACAGAUCCUCACAGAAACGUAGAUUAUAAAAAGGGAGCCUUUAUUUUAGCCGGCUGGCAUCUGCCAAGGAGCAAGCUCUCCAAGUGCAGCCCCGAGCCUCUGUUACAACAUCUUUUUAAGCAUUUUUACCGCAUCCUGCUUAGUUUUUGCAACUUUUCCGCCUUCGCCUAAAUUCAGCAAGCUAUAUUCUUUGUUCAAUGCUCCGGGGGCUUAAGCAUCCUGUUUUGCCCACCUGCUGCAGGAAAUGUGUGAAACUGUUGGUCUCUAACAAAGCAAUGUACAGAAGCAAAAAUAGCGUGGAGUUAGUUGAACAUCCUGUUUCUCAUGGGAUUUAUAUCUUUUCCUUUAGUUUCUCAGAAGUUGGUACGUGUCUAGGGUCUGGGCUAACUUUACAGAGAGCUUUGUUUCCUAUUUUUAUGUCUGAAAUUGCUUCAGCCCCUCACAUUCCCCCCUCUCCUUGUAACAGAGUCAAACCAUUGACUCUUCAGUUUUUUUUUUUUUGGCUUUGUAAUGUUCUUUAAUGAAAAGUAGCUUUAUUGCCACUAGUCUCUUCUGAAUAUAACUCAUGAGACAAUUUAUAACAGAGGGCCCUAUAGUAACUACAAGCAGGAGGAGAGCAAGGGGACCUGCAAGGGCUGUCAGGAGGGUUGUUGGCCAAGGGGACUAUGAGAACAGGCCUUGAUACCAGUUUGCUGUUGCUUCCCUCUGAACCUCUUUCUUUGAGGUUCUGUCUCACCAUAGCCAAAGUAUCUUGAAUAAUGCCUUAUUUGUCUGCAUAGAAGCAGCAGGUUUCACUUAAUGCCAUGCAAAAUCCCUCUUUUUUCAUAAAGAGGAGGUCCAGCCCUCCCCUAUUUUGCAAGACUACCCCUGCUAGGGAGUCUACAGCUGACUCUAACUGAUGGACUUAGCUCUCUAACGUCCCUAGAUCUUUAUCUACUUGUUUACUGAGCACUUUGAAAUUGGCAUUAUUUACAACAAAAGAAGCAGUCCCUACUGCUACUGAUCCUGCUAUUCUCAGCCCAACUAGGAGGGGCACUAGGAUGGGGGCUGCUCUUUUUGUUCUAAGAGAAUAUAUUAAGCCCAUGUGUUCUCUACCGGCUUCCCUGUUAUAAACUUGAGGGAGGAUGUGAACCAAAAUAUAGAGCUCGGGUGCCCUUAGGUCUCCUACACUAGCUGUUAUUAAUUGCUCAAACAAGGGGUUAAUCUGCUGGUACAAGCAAACCACGUGGCAGAUGGGCUAACCAGGAAGUUAACUUUUUCACUAGAGGCGGGGGAAGUGUAGUUUAGAGUAGUUUCACAGUUUCUGAAGAUGAGGAUUUUUGGUUGAAUAUGAAGGGGAAUGGAUGCAAAACCCUGUGCCUUGCACAUCUCCCAAGGGCUACUUCUCCGGCUGCCAGGUCAGCUGCAUGGUUUCCCCUUGCCUCAGUCAAAUUUUCCAAGAGGUAAAGAGAGUCCUCCUGAUAAGAAGUUAGACCAGGUGAACAUAAGAGCAAGUCAUACACAUAUUGGAUCAAGGUACUGCCGAGUCACUGCCAGGUGUCAGGGAGAGCAGAUUUUGCUGGGCAUGAAAGCUAUGUGUGCAAGAUGAAUGAGCUUGGUGUGGAUCCUGUUCGUUUGUUUCUCACACUACAGCUGGCCAGCUUGUGUGGACCCACGUUGUCCCCUCUAUAUUUGGGUGCUGCUUCCACAUAAUGGAGACCUGUAAAACAGAGCAUGUCAGAUAAAGGGACACCUAUUCUGCGGUCCGGUGCCCACCUGUGCAUAGCAGCAGAGCCUGCAUGUCCUGUCUUGUGAUGAAUCCAUCGUGCAAGUGCUAAUGUUUCAUCACUAAUGGGAGUAGAACAUUCCACUUCAGCUAUAGCUGCUAAGCAAUCCACAUCAGCGUUAUACUCACGUUCAACCGAAGUCUUCUUAGCGUGAGCGCCUACAUGGAACACAGACAGGUAUCUUUCUAGACGUCGUUGGCUGAAGAACAUUGACAUCUUAACAUUUGAAUUUGCUUGAUGCCUUAGGAUGAAGAUCACCCGACUGAACAUGCAAGGAGAACAAAAGCAAAAAUACACAAGUGGGACUACAUCAAACUAAAACCCUUCUGCACAUCGAAGGAAAUCAUCUGCAAAAUGAAAAGGCAACCUACUGUAUGGGAGAAAGAUAAAAAUGCUCUUAAAUUAUGUAGUGUUGAUAGUUGCCCGGCUCUGUGUAUAUAAAAAACACAGUCUUGUACACUGUAAAAGUUGAGUUUUAUGGUAUUUGAGUUAUAUCUUAAUAAAGCUGUUUUUUAGAAAGAAUAUGUAUAGUAACCUAAAAUGUUCAUAAAUAUAUUGCUAGGUUUACAUACAUAUAUGUAUGUGUGCGUAUGUGUACAUAUAUAUAUAUCAGUAUAAAAAUUACAGAAUUAUCUUUAAAUUAUAUACACAACAAAAAAUAUAAAGGAAAUGAUAUGUGACAGAUAUCCCCAAUGCAACCUCUUUGCCAGAGUGGCAAUGUUGCAAACAAAAAUAUCAAAACUAAGCUAUUUCUCAGGCAGAACCUUCAUGGUGGUUCUAACGUAGACCCUGUUUGCUUUCCAACCCUGGUUUUCCAGCUCUCUUAUUGAUGACAUGUACAACCUGAUAUCCUUGGAUAAGAUUUAUUUUUGAUUCAAUGAUCCUGAGCGUUCUGUUGUUCAUAACCGCACACCCUGAUUAAUGCAGAGGUUGGCAGAUGUAAGUGCUAUUUACAGUCAUAGAGGGAAAAGAAACAUUUUAUUUCUAAAACCACUUUAUUGAGGUGUGAUUGAUGUACAAAUACCUGUACAUAUUUAAUAUAUACAAAUUGAUUUAAAGAAAUUUCUAAGAGAGAAAACGUACAAGGAAGAAAAGAGAGCCCCAGGCCUCAACAUAGAGCAUGUCAGCUUGAAGAGGAGUUUAGAGGAAGAGGAGCCAAAAAAUGAACCAAAGAAUAGAAUUCACACAAGAAGGAAGAAAACCAGAGGAGCGUGGUUUCUUGAAAUCCAGAAGAUUCAAGGGAAAGGAAGUAGGCAGCACAUUCCAUGCUACUAAGUAGUGAAACAGGGGCAGAGGAAUGAUGUUUGAUUUAACAUCAGAAAGUUGUUGGAGAACAAGAAAGAAACAAUGUAGAGGACAGAAGGGGAUGCAAGAAUUGUUGGAGGGGGAGAUGAGGAAGCAGAGACAACCCAUUUAGAAAACAUAUCAUGAAAGUUUGGCUGUGAAGAACAGCAGAUAUGUAAACAGUAAAUAGUAGGGAAGUAUCAUCAAAGGAAGGAAUUUGUUUAAGACAGAGAAUAGUGGAGCAUGAUGGUAUAAUGAUGGGAAUGACCACUAGAGCAGGAGAAUAUGAAGAUGCAAGAGCCACAGUGGUUAUCUGUAGGGAUAACAUAUUUUAAAGGGUGAAAGUGAAGAUGAGAUGCACUGGAAAUGCUAGAUUUGUUAAAAUUAUGACCCACCUGCCCCAUGCUUCAUACUCUUACUUAAAGACAAGCUGGCACCUACAUCCCCAUGGAUGGCCAAAUUGAGAAUGAAGGGUUAACAAACCAGUAAUGGCCAGAAGAUGAAGGAAUGGGAUUUGAAGUCCAUGAACUCAAGACUGAGUAAUAGAGUUUAAUGUAGAAUGACAAAUUUUAAAUUUGAGAAAUGUGUUGGCUAGGGGUUAUUAUGUGCCACUGAUAGUUCUUUGGCAUGUAUGUGAAUGUGUGUUGUAUGUUCAGAGUUGGGGAAGGGUGGAGCUGUGGAAAGAUCAUGUUGUUAAGUAAAAAGAUUGUCCCUACAAUGAAGCAAAUUAGUAGAGGGGACUUUCUCCUUUACAGAGGGAGGAAAGGGCAGUCCUCAAGACAGAGAAGAAAAACUAGGAACAAGGAUCAACCCAGAAUGAAAUCUGGAGAUGGGUGAUUUUAUUCCUGGACUUUAAGGAUCAUUGAUACUUAGCCAUCAUAUCCUAGUAGUUUUGUUCCAUAUUAUAAUUCCCUCUAGUUCCUCUAGUUAUAUUUACCCUGUCAUUAAAAUCUGCUGCUCCUGUAAUAUCUAGACAGGUAUUUGGGGAUAUUUAAGAAGUAGGGCUGUGGGGAGGUGGAGGUGAUGCCUGAAGCAGCAUGGGAGGCUCUACGAGAUUGGGAAAUCCUUGAGGAAACAGGAUGCCGAAGUGGUGGCAGGGGCCAUGUGUAAGCUAUUUCUCACAGUAUGAAGAAAGGCCAUAGGAGAAGGAUGUACUCCUCUGAGAAGCAUGAGAAGAGGCAGCAUGAGAAUGCCAGCUGUGAGGUGCAGUGGAGGGGGUAAAAAAUUCCAUGAAGAUUGAGAAAGCAUUGUUGCAAAGCACUGUGGAGAAGGUAAAGGAUGUAGUGGUGACUGAGAUCGAGGCACUUUAUGGGGCAGCUGUGGGAUUAAUGGGAUUAGUACAUAAAUCAAGUAAUAUAGAAGUCAAAUGUACAAAUACAUAUGACUUGAUUGUUUUUCCUACAACUCUUGAUGUGAGAUCAAAACCAGAAUGAUUAGAGCCAAAACAGUUCCCACAACUCGUGACCGGCCUCACAUGGUUUCGGUAUCCUUGAGGAGCGUCAUGCCCCAGGGCUAGACUCAGGGUCAGAUAACAAUUGUGUGUUGUGUUGAACCCCUUACUGAGAAUUCUUUAGAUGUUUAAGUUCAUUUGCUCAAUAAAUAUGAGGAGUGCCUUUUCGGCAUUACUCUUGUGCUGUCACACCUUGAGUCCCCUGGCUGGCCUCUCAGAUCUUCAGCAUUCCGUCGCGUUCCCUCCAAAUCUGCGGGUCAGAGGCAGAGGGGAGCCAACAAGUGGCACCCGAACAGGGACCUCAGAGUGGGAAAGCUCCUGAAGAUCGUCGAUCCGGUAAGACUACCGGGAAAGCAUACAUAGAGCCAGGAUCGAGACGUCAGGCACACUAUAAUGGGCCAACAUGAAACUAAAGCAGAUAAUCCAGAGGAUUACACAAGCCCAUGGAAUUCCCCUGUAUUUGUUAUAAAGAAGAGGUCAGGAAAAUGGAGACUCUUACAUGACUUAAGACAAAUUAAUGCAGUCCUUAAAUCUAUGGGACCUUUACAACAAGACCUCCCUUCUCCGGCUAUAAAGACUGGGACAUGGCUAUCAAUGAUCUUAAAGAUUGUUUUCUUACUAUUCCUUUAGCUUUGGCAGGGAAAAGUUUGCUUUUACUGUAUGUACCCUCCUUAAAUUUACAAGCUCCUUCAGAAAGAUUCCAAUGGAAAGUAUUUCCUCAAGGAAUGUUAAAUAGCCCUACAGUUUGUCAAAAUUAUGUGCACAGGGCUCUCUUGUCCCCUCCUGGCGUAAGCCAGGAGCUCUGUCUGUUCUUUCACUUUAUCUCUAAAUAAAAGCCUCUCCCUGGCUCUCCUACCUUGGGUGUUUGCUAAGUUCAUUCUUUGACUCUGCAAACAAGAA